ACUGACGCUGAGGCACGAAAGCAUGGGUAGCAAACAGGAUUAGAUACCCUGGUAGUCCAUGCCGUAAACGAUGAUUACUAGGUGUGGGGGGAUUGACCCCUUCCGUGCCGCAGUUAACACAAUAAGUAAUCCACCUGGGGAGUACGGCCGCAAGGUUGAAACUCAAAGGAAUUGACGGGGGCCCGCACAAGCAGUGGAGUAUGUGGUUUAAUUCGAAGCAACGCGAAGAACCUUACCAGGUCUUGACAUCGAGUGACGUAUCCAGAGAUGGAUAUUCCCUACGGGGCACGAAGACAGGUGGUGCAUGGUUGUCGUCAGCUCGUGUCGUGAGAUGUUGGGUUAAGUCCCGCAACGAGCGCAACCCUUGCUGUUAGUUGCUACGCAAGAGCACUCUAACAGGACUGCCGUUGAUAAAACGGAGGAAGGUGGGGACGACGUCAAAUCAUCAUGCCCCUUAUGACCUGGGCUACACACGUACUACAAUGGCCGUAAACAAAGGGAAGCAAAGGAGCGAUCCGGAGCAAACCCCCAAAAACGGUCCCAGUUCAGAUUGUAGGCUGCAACCCGCCUACAUGAAGUUGGAAUUGCUAGUAAUCGCAG
RNAcentral lists this ribosomal RNA (600 nucleotides) under uncultured bacterium. RNAcentral describes it as "bacterial SSU rRNA". It matches the Rfam family "Bacterial small subunit ribosomal RNA", at positions 739 to 1347 of the family's 1533-position model. The record is from RNAcentral.